GCUGGGCGUGGUGGCACAUGCCUGUAAUCCCAGUAGCUUGUGAGGCUGAGGCAGGAGGACCACUAGUUCAAAGCCAGCCUCAGCGAUUUAGGGAAGCCCUAAGUAACUCAGGAGACCCUGCCUCUA
This 126-nucleotide small RNA is filed under the name Marmota monax (woodchuck). The record is from RNAcentral. Lineage: Eukaryota; Metazoa; Chordata; Mammalia; Rodentia; Sciuridae.